RNAcentral lists this ribosomal RNA (521 nucleotides) under uncultured bacterium. RNAcentral's name for it is "partial 16S ribosomal RNA". It matches the Rfam family "Bacterial small subunit ribosomal RNA", at positions 28 to 523 of the family's 1533-position model. The record is from RNAcentral.
GACGAACGCUGGCGGCGUGCCUAAUACAUGCAAGUCGAGCGGGCCUCCGGAGGUGCUUGCACCUCCGGAAGGCCAGCGGCGGACGGGUGAGUAACACGUGGGCAACCUGCCUUUGAGGCCGGGAUAACACCGGGAAACCGGUGCUAAUACCGGAUGCGUCCCCUUUCGCGCCUGCGAGAGGGGAGAAAGACGGUCUUUAAGGCCGUCGCUCAAAGAGGGGCCCGCGGCGCAUUAGCUGGUUGGUGGGGUAAGGGCCUACCAAGGCGACGAUGCGUUGCCGACCUGAGAGGGUGAUCGGCCACACUGGGACUGAGACACGGCCCAGACUCCUGCGGGAGGCAGCAGUAGGGAAUCAUCCGCAAUGGGCGAUAGCCUGACGGUGCAACGCCGCGUGAGUGAGGAAGGUUUUCGGAUCGUAAAGCUCUGUUGUGAGGGAAGAACAGCUUCCGGAGGAAAUGCCGGAGGUUUGCCGGUACCUCACCAGAAAGCCCCGGCUAACUACGUGCCAGCCGCCGCCGUAA